GAGGAACCUGAUCCUCGGUAGCGAAGGGCUGGAGGCAAACACCGAGCUCCCCCUGAGCCGCCUGGGAGCAGGGAGGGUUCUGCUACCCUGAGGUGCCCUCCCCGCGGGGCAGAGGGUGGGAGGAAGUCACAGCAUGUGCUUCUGAACCUGUGCUUGCCUUGAGGAACAACGGCAUGACACGGGGAUGUGGACGCUUUCAACCAGAAGAUUCUGUACGAUAGUGUCGGCACACACUCAUCCUCGUCUACGGCCAAACGUUGGUUUCUCAUUUCUAGAAUGAAAGAUGUGAUGACUUAGGGAAAACUUGCUGCUCGAGAUGUGAGUCUUCAGAUGUUCCUGCCGCCAUAUCUGACAGCUGCUGCCAAGAUUCCCUGGUGGGAUGGACUCUUAUACCUCGACAACCAGAAGCCCAAGUAAACUCUUCUAUAAAUUGAAUGACUCAUGCUUAAAAA
RNAcentral lists this long non-coding RNA (452 nucleotides) under Mus caroli (Ryukyu mouse). RNAcentral describes it as "lncRNA (MGP_CAROLIEiJ_G0013751.1)". Lineage: Eukaryota; Metazoa; Chordata; Mammalia; Rodentia; Muridae. The record is from RNAcentral.